CGUAAGACGGAACUCAUUUUUCAGAAAUCUGUAAAAUGACUUGUUUUCUGGAAAAUGUUUUUUUGUGAUUGGUUGGAGAGCGGAAAAUAUUUUUUCGUACAUUUAUUGAAUUGAAGAUUGAAUUAGCAAAUUGGAUAGUGUUUUAAUGAAAAAUAUUUGAGUAGUAAAGAUUGAUAACAAUGUCUAAAUGUUAUUGCUCCUUUUGGUGGAACAAUUUCGGGCAACCAAAAUC
Molecule: long non-coding RNA, 232 nt
Organism: Lycium ferocissimum
Lineage: Eukaryota; Viridiplantae; Streptophyta; Magnoliopsida; Solanales; Solanaceae
Exons: 2
Source: RefSeq, a predicted model, not a curated record